AGCUGAUGGCAGCCAGUGGCUAGUGGAAACAAAGAAAAAUAAGGUGGAAAAAUUAGGAAUGGGUGACCAUAGAAAUGAGGGAGCUCGGGAUUUUCAGACCAUUUCUUGAGAAAAUCAAGGCCGAUGGUCACUAUUUGGACGGACGGAUAAGUCGAAGAAGGCAAUGUCAUUAGUUCCUCGAUCUAGCGAGGCCUCGAAGAGAGCGGUGGUG
RNAcentral lists this long non-coding RNA (211 nucleotides) under Elaeis guineensis (African oil palm). RNAcentral describes it as "long non-coding RNA (EGUI_LNC070542)". Lineage: Eukaryota; Viridiplantae; Streptophyta; Magnoliopsida; Arecales; Arecaceae. The record is from RNAcentral.